RNAcentral lists this ribosomal RNA (429 nucleotides) under Bacteroidota bacterium. RNAcentral describes it as "Bacteroidetes bacterium partial 16S ribosomal RNA". It matches the Rfam family "Bacterial small subunit ribosomal RNA", at positions 355 to 776 of the family's 1533-position model. Lineage: Bacteria; Pseudomonadati; Bacteroidota. The record is from RNAcentral.
UAGGGAAUCUUCCGCAAUGGACGCAAGUCUGACGGAGCAACGCCGCGUGAGUGAAGAAGGAUUUCGGUUCGUAAAACUCUGUUGUUAGAGAAGAACAGCGCAUAGAGUAACUGUUAUGCGUGUGACGGUAUCUAACCAGAAAGCCACGGCUAACUACGUGCCAGCAGCCGCGGUAAUACGUAGGUGGCAAGCGUUGUCCGGAUUUAUUGGGCGUAAAGCGAGCGCAGGCGGUUAAUUAAGUCUGAUGUGAAAGCCCCCGGCUCAACCGGGGAGGGUCGUUGGAAACUGGUUGACUUGAGUGCAGAAGAGGAGAGUGGAAUUCCAUGUGUAGCGGUGAAAUGCGUAGAUAUAUGGAGGAAAACCAGUGGCGAGGGCGACUCUCUGGUCUGUAACUGACGCUGAGGCUCGAAAGCGUGGGUAGCAAACAGG